CCACCUCUUCCCAUCCCGAACAGAGAAGUUAAGCCCGGCUACGCCGAUGGUACUGCCCACAAGGUGGGAGAGUAGGUAGCCGCCGUCU
This 88-nucleotide ribosomal RNA is filed under the name Bacteroidaceae bacterium. The record is from RNAcentral. Lineage: Bacteria; Pseudomonadati; Bacteroidota; Bacteroidia; Bacteroidales; Bacteroidaceae.